This is a non-coding RNA of Polychytrium aggregatum, 72 nucleotides long. The record is from the annotation of a RefSeq genome assembly. NCBI's taxonomy places the organism in Eukaryota, Fungi, Chytridiomycota, Chytridiomycetes, Polychytriales.
GGACCGAUGGUGUAGUGGUUAGCAUGCCAGCCUUCCAAGCUUGCGUCCCGGGUUCGAAUCCCGGUCGGUUCA